GAUCAUCCCUUGGGGAGCCCCAAGGGUGAGGGCACUACUAUUUUUUUAUUUUAAACCAAUCUAGAGGAGCUUGGUAGUGGGGAGGAAAUAAGGCGUAUGUGUAGCUCCUGCAUGGAGUGGGAGCCUCUGCAGUAAACUAAGUGUUCGUCUCCGCUGGCUCCGCACCUCUCCCAGAGCCGCCACACCUGCCCCACACCAAGGCCGCAGCCCCCCUGCACGGCGAAGCAGCACAGGACUUUCUCGGCCGUUGAUCAGAUGCCUUUGUUCCUUGUUGGCAACACCUACUGAAGACCUUCUUUCAACAAGCCUUUUAAGCAGAAAACAUAU
Molecule: long non-coding RNA, 327 nt
Organism: Rhineura floridana
Lineage: Eukaryota; Metazoa; Chordata; Lepidosauria; Squamata; Rhineuridae
Exons: 3
Source: RefSeq, a predicted model, not a curated record